UAGGGAAUCUUCGGCAAUGGGGGGAACCCUGACCGAGCAACGCCGCGUGAGUGAAGAAGGUUUUCGGAUCGUAAAGCUCUGUUGUUAAGGAAGAACGAGUGUGAGAAUGGAAAGUUCAUACUGUGACGGUACUUAACCAGAAAGGGACGGCUAACUACGUGCCAGCAGCCGCGGUAAUACGUAGGUCCCGAGCGUUGUCCGGAUUUAUUGGGCGUAAAGCGAGCGCAGGCGGUUAGAUAAGUCUGAAGUUAAAGGCAGUGGCUCAACCAUUGUAGGCUUUGGAAACUGGUUAACUUGAGUGCAGAAGGGGAGAGUGGAAUUCCAUGUGUAGCGGUGAAUUGCGUAGAUAUAUGGAGGAACACCGGUGGCGAAAGCGGCUCUCUGGUCUGUAACUGACGCUGAGGCUCGAAAGCGUGGGGAGCGAACAGG
RNAcentral lists this ribosomal RNA (429 nucleotides) under Bacteroidota bacterium. Its description in RNAcentral is "Bacteroidetes bacterium partial 16S ribosomal RNA". It matches the Rfam family "Bacterial small subunit ribosomal RNA", at positions 355 to 776 of the family's 1533-position model. The record is from RNAcentral. Lineage: Bacteria; Pseudomonadati; Bacteroidota.